Molecule: ribosomal RNA, 465 nt
Filed under: Vreelandella stevensii
Lineage: Bacteria; Pseudomonadati; Pseudomonadota; Gammaproteobacteria; Oceanospirillales; Halomonadaceae
Description: partial 16S ribosomal RNA
Rfam family: Bacterial small subunit ribosomal RNA
Source: RNAcentral
CCUACGGGUGGCUGCAGUGGGGAAUAUUGGACAAUGGGCGAAAGCCUGAUCCAGCCAUGCCGCGUGUGUGAAGAAGGCCUUCGGGUUGUAAAGCACUUUCAGUGGGGAAGAAAGCCUUGGGGCUAAUACCCUCGAGGAAGGACAUCACCCACAGAAGAAGCACCAGCUAACUCCGUGCCAGCAGCCGCGGUAAUACGGAGGGUGCGAGCGUUAAUCGGAAUUACUGGGCGUAAAGCGCGCGUAGGCGGUCUGAUAAGCCGGUUGUGAAAGCCCCGGGCUCAACCUGGGAACGGCAUCCGGAACUGUCAGGCUAGAGUGCAGGAGAGGAAGGUAGAAUUCCCGGUGUAGCGGUGAAAUGCGUAGAGAUCGGGAGGAAUACCAGUGGCGAAGGCGGCCUUCUGGACUGACACUGACGCUGAGGUGCGAAAGCGUGGGUAGCAAACAGGAUUAGAUACCCCUGUAGUC